GUUGGGAUUCUUACUGGGCUGGAAAAGCUCAUACUACUCUUACUUUUUUUUCAGAGGCACUGGAUUUGUAGAGUCCAUCGGGUGGGACGAGAAAUGAGAUCAGCAUGGAGUUUGACUGCUAGAUAGAUAGAAGCUAAUUUAUCUUUUGCUUAUGGAUAUUUGAAUUUAUGUAAUCAUUCAGUACAUUUUGGUUGGUUGGUUUAAUUACAUUAAUCAUAGAAUUAUUGAAAU
This 231-nucleotide long non-coding RNA is filed under the name Phoenix dactylifera (date palm). RNAcentral's name for it is "long non-coding RNA (PDAC_LNC018611)". The record is from RNAcentral. Lineage: Eukaryota; Viridiplantae; Streptophyta; Magnoliopsida; Arecales; Arecaceae.